AUGACGGUGUUCCGGGACUGCUUUGAAACUUGUCAGCUGAUUGACUUGGGCUUCUCUGGAUACCCUUAUACAUACAAUAACAGGAGAAGCGGCCGGGCAAACGUACAAGUGAGGCUGGACAGGGCUGCUGCUGAUAAUGCAUGGCGUGAUCUCUUUCAUGAAGCGGCUGUGGUGCACCUCACGUCACCAAGGUCUGACCACAGCCCAUUGCUUCUUCGCUGCUUGCCGGAAACUCGUGUGAAUAUGGGGAGAACAAGGAGGUACGAGGUGAUGUGGGAGCGGGAGCCGUCGCUAGCUGAAGUGGUGGAUGAGGCGUGGGCCACAGCAGGUGCAAAGGGUGACCUGGGAGCGGUGAGUAAGGCUCUCAAAGCAACUAUGGCUACCCUGCAUCGUUGGAGUAACAAGAAAUUGGGCAACAUUACAAAGGAGAUAGAGAAGUCUAGAACUAGACUUGAAGAGCUGCAGAACACGAAUGCAGAUCGCAGUGAGUUACGGAAGGAGUCGGACCAUAUGGACGAGCUUCUAUACAAGGAAGAAAUGAUGUGGCUGCAGCGCUCCAGACUUGAGUGGUUAAAACAUGGGGAUCGAAAUACAAAUUUUUUCCACCGGAAAGCUGUUUGGAGAGCCCGUAAAAAUAAGAUCAAAGGGCUGCGAGAUGACCAGGGUGUCCUACGCACCGAACACGCUGUUAUGUCAGGUAUGGCCAUGUCAUAUUUUGAAAAUCUGUUUCAAGCUGAUCCUUGCUUGCAUCCACAGACAGUGGUGGAUCUCUUUAACAACGUGAUCACGAAUGCUAUGAAUGAGAAGCUCUGCGAAGCUUUUACUGAUAAGGAGAUCAGCGAUGCGCUCUUUCAGAUCGGGCCCUUGAAGGCCCCCGGACCGGAUGGCUUCCCCGCCAGGUUCUUUCAGCGCCACUGGGGUACAGUGAAGGAAGACAUCAUUGAGGCGGUUAGGAAAUUCUUCGCUACUAGUGUUAUGCCUGAAGCCUGUGUAACGUGGUGUACAAGAUCAUCGCCAAGUGCUUGGUUAAUCGACUGCGACCUAUUUUGGGUGAUAUCAUUUCGGAGGAGCAAAGUGCCUUUGUGCCAGGAAGGCUUAUUACUGACAAUGCUUUGA
RNAcentral lists this ribosomal RNA (1116 nucleotides) under Triticum aestivum (bread wheat). RNAcentral describes it as "partial small subunit ribosomal RNA". The record is from RNAcentral. Lineage: Eukaryota; Viridiplantae; Streptophyta; Magnoliopsida; Poales; Poaceae.